AUAAAAUAAAAAAGCAAAUCAAACCCUUGAUCAAUUUUUAUUUAUCUAAGUCUUACAACAACAACAAAAAUAGAAACAUUUCAACUGUGUAAAAUAUAUAACAGCAUAAAUUAAUGGUCGGGUGUGUGUUGAUGACUUAAAAUAAUACUGCGGUAGGUUAAUGAAUACCAAUACUAAUGGGAGUGCAGUGAAAUUUAUCCUAUACUUAUUAUACGCCGCAAGUUCGAGCCACUAUAAAAAGAGGAAGUUGAAAGUUGAAAUUAACCACGCUUAUGUCUUUUGUGAGCACUAAACAUUUGCAAUUUCAAUGGCAAGUAGUCAUAAACUCCGGUCACGGUGUUGCUUCAACGAAUGGAUGCACGUUCAAGAGCAAGAGCUGAAUGAACUCCUUCAUGCCCAAACCUUAACCACGAAAACUGAAAACUCAGAAAAUUUAUGCAUUCGACUGACUAAAAAGAUCAUUAAAAACUAUGAAGAAUAUAUGGAAAAACGAUCCCAGUUGUUCCAUGAGGAAGCAUCAGGUUUUUUUGCACCACGUUGGUGCAGUUCCUUGGAGAACUCAUCUCACUGGAUGGGAGGCUGUAGACCCUCAUCGUUUAUCAGGCUUCUUUACGCGCAAAGUGGUUCAAAAGUUACUGUUAAUAGUUAAUCAACUUUUAACAUCUAACAUGCAAAACCAAUGAGCAUGAACAGUGACACAUGCAACAAUUUAAGUACAUCAACAAUCCAUGCCACAAGGUACUGUUAAUUUUUAUUUAUUAUUAUUAUUGUGGAUAAAUAAAUGGUCAUUGAUCCUACCUUUUAGUGAUCAUCCUCGUCUUGCAUAGUAUAUAACAUCAAUGAUACGAAUACGGAAUGGCCUCGUGACAGAACUUCAAUUUCAACUUCAACUUCAAAGCUUAGGGAUUUGUUUACAUAACCCAUCAAUAUAUAUUAUUAUUAGCCAAAACAUAAAUAUGUUUGUCGGCAAAAGUAUAUCAGUUACAGAUCACGGGGGAAAAAUCAUGGGAUUUGAUUUCGAUAAAUCACCUGAUUUUAUUUGAUCUCAUGUCAGUCCAUGAUUUGGUUCAUGCAGAAGUAAAGGACAAUAUGCUGAUUAGUUCGGUGAGAAAAUUCGAUCGAAGUAAGAGCACCAAAUUGAAUUUUCCAAACAAAAAACCUAUCCACAUGCUGACAUGCAUGCAAUUUAUGAAAAAAUUCAGUAAUAGUUGUUUAAUUAUGCAAAUUCAUAUGAUUUUAACUCGUGCCUUUUAGAAAAAAAAAAAAGUUGUUUCUAUCAUUACAAUUCAAAAGCGGACACUUACAUGUCUUCAAAUGUAUAAACUUCUGCCACCCGCCGUCACGUAAGAAGCGACACGAGAGUGAGGACAUGCAAGCAGUGCUAAAGAAAUCUUCUAUCCGCAACCUUUUCCUUUUCACGGUUGGUUGUAUGGGAUAAGAAUAAAUAAUAAGGUUGAUGGAAACAAAUUAAUCAAUUAAA
Molecule: long non-coding RNA, 1480 nt
Filed under: Citrus x clementina
Lineage: Eukaryota; Viridiplantae; Streptophyta; Magnoliopsida; Sapindales; Rutaceae
Description: Citrus clementina (C. clementina) long non-coding RNA (CCLE_LNC005744)
Source: RNAcentral